AAAUUAAGAUAAAUUAAGUAUUUUUAUAUAACUUUAUAUUUAAUAAUAUAUAUGUAUAUUUUAAAAUUAUAAUCUUUGAAAUAUUUUUAAUUUAUUUUUGGUUAAAAUAUAUUAAAUCAAAUUCGAUAAAAUUAAGAAAAAAUUUUGUUAGUUAUAUUACUAUCAAAACGUAAAACAAAUAAUAUUUCUAAAAUUUGUAAAUAUUAAAAAGUAACUAAUUGUAUUAAGAUUAGUAAAUUACAAUUUAAAAAAUGCAUAAAAUUAGGAAGAAUUGUUUUAUUAAUAAAAAUUAUAUAAUAAUUAAUAAUAUUUUGAAAAUUUUAAAAUUUUAAAAUUUAUUAUAUUUCUAUUUCUAUAUUUACUUUUAUAUUAUUUAUCGUAUAUUAAUGAUGAUUUAUAAUUUAUUACCAUAUUCUAAAAAUUAUCAAAAAUAUAAAUUAACAUUAAAUUUAAAUGUUUAUGUCACAAUUACUUUUACGUCAUUUCAUUAUUGUUAGUUUGUCAUGUCAUCAUCUUUUCAAAAUCAAUGUAUUGAGAUCACUUGGCAAAUCGUCUCUCAUAAAAAGUAUAGGGAAUAUCUCGUUUGUACAUAUAGUACAAGAAAAUUUAUGUAUAAGAAAUUUUAUGUGUAGAAUAACAUUCUUAAGAAUUUGUAAAUAAAUAUUAGAUUAGAUCAUUAAAUAUAAUUAUAAUUCUUUCAAUUAAAAUUUAAUGAAAAAUACAAAAUAUAAGUAUAAUUUACUCAAAAGAGACACAUAAAUAUAUUGGUUCGAUCUUGAAAAUAAAGUAUAACUAGGAUAGAAUCCGCGCUUUGAAAGAGCGUGAUUAUUUUUUGUUGACAAAUUUAUUAAUAUAUCACUAAUAUGUUUAGGUAUGGUGUAGGUUUUGAUUCGUUUCCAGAUUGUAUUUUUUUUGGUUUUUUGUUUGGUUCUCGUUUAGUUGUAACUUCUACUAUCAAAAAAAUAUAUGAAUUAUGAGUUUGGGUUUAGUUUAAGUUUAGUUAACAACAGUGUUUUUUUAGAAUAUCAGUAUAAUCAAAUAUAAAAUAUUAGAAAUAUUAAGUAACUUUAUAUAAAAUCUAGAUUUUAAUAGUUUAAUCCAGUUCAAUAAUUUUAAAAUACAAUCUGACUACAGUUCGUGGUUGAAUCCCAGCAUCGGGUCAAUCCGAUUUUUGAAACAUUGUCUUUUGAUGAUUGAGAAGCCUUUUGUCUCUUUUGGAUUUUUGGUUCUUCAGAAAACUCAGUUCUGGCCUCUCAAAGCACACAAUGCUCUUCUUGCUUUAAAAUGGGAAACAUGAUAAGCAGUGAGACGAACAACUUCAGCAACGACUUGAGCAGCUGCAACAGUUGCAAUAGCCACAAAGUAAAUAUGUCUGCUCUUUUCAUCCUCGAUCUUCUUUAAUUUGGUCUCUGGCACCACAAAAAGUAUUGUUAGGAAUCAGCUACACCAGAAUUGGUAACAUCCAACGUCCUGGACUUACCAAACCAUUUCUUAACCUUAUGGGGCUUAUAAUGAAAUGUAUAACAAAAACCCAUUGUCAGUUUUGAAUUCAUCAAAGGCGUGAUAAUCACAACACACUAUACUUGUUCUAAAAAAUAUAUGUGAUGAAGAUAGUCUAAUAACCAUA
Molecule: long non-coding RNA, 1627 nt
Organism: Brassica napus (rape)
Lineage: Eukaryota; Viridiplantae; Streptophyta; Magnoliopsida; Brassicales; Brassicaceae
Exons: 2
Source: RefSeq, a predicted model, not a curated record